This 545-nucleotide long non-coding RNA is filed under the name Piliocolobus tephrosceles (Ugandan red Colobus). Its description in RNAcentral is "lncRNA (ENSPTEG00000033610.1)". The record is from RNAcentral. Lineage: Eukaryota; Metazoa; Chordata; Mammalia; Primates; Cercopithecidae.
AAAUGUGCCAUUUUGUCUCCGCUUUGCGGAGAUCAAGCAACAGAGGUCAGCUAACUCCGGGCCUCAUGGCUCCGGACACCUGCUGACCAAAUAGAAGAGCAUCACGGAGCAUUCUUUUAAGAAAUACUGCAUUAUAUAUAUUCUCCAUGGUAUAGAAGGUGAUAUUGUCUGGCAAAAUAUGGACAAAAAGUGAGUUAGCAGAUCCAUGAGGCUUCCUGUGUCUUUGAAGUUUUGGAGAUGUCAUUUGAAAGUGAGUUAAAACUGGAUUGAUGUACCAAGAAUAACUUAUCCAGGUCAUUUAAUAAAUGAAUGCAUGAAAGUUUCAUGUGCAAAAGAGAGAAAUCCUACCUUUGGAAUCAAUUCUAAAAGAAGUUCCCACCCUGCUUCUCUGCCUGAUCCAUGGUUAUCGUUCUAGAAUUCUAUGUGAAACAUAGGGAGAAAUGCACACAGAAGAAUCUCCAUGAAGCAAGAUACCAGAGUGAUGAAAUAAUCUGUAUAACAAACCCCCAUGACAUGAAUUUACCUAUGCAACACACCUGCACGUG